CCCGAGAUAACAUGUCAAACUCGUGACUUGAUCAACUCCAUUGGAAAAAAAAACAAUAAGGUUCGAUUCCCAACAAUUAAAAUGUAGAAGGAUGAAAUCAAAAAAAAAAUCAAUUAACAAAAAAAACACCAAUAAGCCUGGGCAAGUCCACUAAGGUUCGUGAGUUGAAUUAUAUGAACGAGAUAAUCUAAUAGGAAUAAAAAAAAAACAUGAAGCCUAAAUUGAAAAAAAUCAAUAAAAAAA
RNAcentral lists this long non-coding RNA (243 nucleotides) under Populus trichocarpa (black cottonwood). Its description in RNAcentral is "long non-coding RNA (PTRI_LNC002939)". The record is from RNAcentral. Lineage: Eukaryota; Viridiplantae; Streptophyta; Magnoliopsida; Malpighiales; Salicaceae.